AGAAAAUAAUAUGUUGUUUCCAUUUCAACCUAUUAUGCGUAAAGAUGACGAUGAUUUUUAUGAGUUACACAUGUUACAUCCAAUUUACAAACAAUAAAUAAACCUAGCUGUUUAGCUACCUAACUACUUAAAUAGAUUAUUAUUCCCAUUUUUUAAAUAUUUAAUAAGUUAAUUUAAUAUUUAUAAUUUGUUGUGAUUAUACUUUAUUUAUAUUUAUGUUUUCGGCCAUUUUUACUUACCCGGUCCUUGCACUGCACUGCCUGACCCUGCUUCAGACCUAGGGCAGCGAGUACACUGAACUAUUGCACUGAACUUGGUUAGGGCCUGAGCAGAAUGGCUGACUUAUAACCUUAAAACACUGUUUUAUGCCCUAAGUCUUUGUCUUAGGUAACGCACAAUACUGUGUUAAUGUUUCCUGUCUUGUGUAGUAUACGCGACGUUUUAAGGAAUAAACGUAAAACGUAUAUUAAAAUGAUGUAUAGAAAUAAGCAAUUUUUAUUGCUUGUUUUACAAUGGAUGCUUUUGUAUAAAUUAUUAAAACGAAAAAAAAAA
Nylanderia fulva is the source of this 552-nucleotide non-coding RNA. NCBI's taxonomy places the organism in Eukaryota, Metazoa, Arthropoda, Insecta, Hymenoptera, Formicidae. The record is from RefSeq and is a predicted model, not a curated record.